Ribosomal RNA from Erpetoichthys calabaricus (reedfish), 119 nucleotides. NCBI's taxonomy places the organism in Eukaryota, Metazoa, Chordata, Cladistia, Polypteriformes, Polypteridae. The record is from Ensembl.
GCUUACAGCCUCACCAGUGUGAAUGCGCCCGAUCUCGUCUGAUCUCAGAAACUAAACACGCUUGGGCUCGGCCAGUACUUAGAUGGGAGUCCAUCUAGGAACCCUGAGUGCUGUAAGCU